This 858-nucleotide ribosomal RNA is filed under the name Aspergillus terreus. RNAcentral's name for it is "SSU rRNA". It matches the Rfam family "Eukaryotic small subunit ribosomal RNA", at positions 539 to 1428 of the family's 1831-position model. The record is from RNAcentral. Lineage: Eukaryota; Fungi; Ascomycota; Eurotiomycetes; Eurotiales; Aspergillaceae.
UUUUUAAAUUUCUGGGCCAGCAGCCGCGGUAANUCCAGCUCCAAUAGCGUAUAUUAAAGUUGUUGCAGUUAAAAAGCUCGUAGUUGAACCUUGGGUCUGGCUGGCCGGUCCGCCUCACCGCGAGUACGGUCCGGCUGGACCUUUCCUUCUGGGGAAUCCCAUGGCCUUCACUGGCUGUGGGGGGAACCAGGACUUUUACUGUGAAAAAAUUAGAGUGUUCAAAGCAGGCCUUUGCUCGAAUACAUUAGCAUGGAUAAUAGAAUAGGACGUGCGGUUCUAUUUUGUUGGUUUCUAGGACCGCCGUAAUGAUUAAUAGGGAUAGUCGGGGGCGUCAGUAUUCAGCUGUCAGAGGUGAAAUUCUUGGAUUUGCUGAAGACUAACACUGCGAAAGCAUUCGCCAAGGAUGUUUUCAUUAAUCAGGGAACGAAAGUUNGGGGAUCGANGACGAUCAGAUACCGUCGUAGUCUUAACCAUAAACUAUGCCGACUAGGGAUCGGGCGGUGNUUCNUGAUGACCCGCUCGGCACCUUACCGAGAAAUCAAAGUUUNUGGGNUACUNGGGGGAGUAUGNUCGCAAGGCUGNNNCUUAAAGGAAUUGGACGGAAGNGCACCACAAGGCGUGGAGCCUGCGGCUUAUUUGACUCAACACGGGGAAACUCACCAGGUCCAGACAAAAUAAGGAUUGACAGAUUGAGAGCUCUUUCUUGAUCUUUUGGAUGGUGGUGCAUGGCCGUUCUUAGUUGGUGGAGUGAUUUGUCUGCUUAUUGCGAUAACGAACGAGACCUCGGCCCUUAAAUAGCCCGGUCCGCAUUGCGGGCCGCUGGCUUCUUACGGGGACUAUCGCUCAUACCCGGCCCCG